This 314-nucleotide unclassified non-coding RNA is filed under the name Hevea brasiliensis (rubber tree). Lineage: Eukaryota; Viridiplantae; Streptophyta; Magnoliopsida; Malpighiales; Euphorbiaceae. The record is from RNAcentral.
GAACUAAAUUUGAAUUCGCGUCAUAUAAGAUUCAAGUAAUUCACAAUUACUAACUAAACUUAAAAUUGAAAAUGAAUAGUAUUAUACUAUACUGUUGUAUUAGGAUCAGUAGGUGGUUGUUGACCAAUAACACCGUCUCCGCCACUGCCAUCACCACCACCACUACUACUUCCUCCUUCUGCCGCGACAGCACUUCCAGCUGUCGCGACCGAACUGGAUGUACUGGGCCGUUUACGUUUCUUCUUUUCAUAAGGAAUUCCUCUAGCUUUUGCUUGACUUUCUCUAACUUCCCUUAAAUAAAUUCUAACAGCUUU